Molecule: ribosomal RNA, 253 nt
Filed under: uncultured bacterium
Lineage: Bacteria
Description: partial 16S ribosomal RNA
Rfam family: Bacterial small subunit ribosomal RNA
Source: RNAcentral
UACGUAGGAGGCAAGCGUUGUCCGGAAUUACUGGGCGUAAAGCGCGCGUAGGCGGACCUGCAAGUCGGGGGUGAAAGCCCGAGGCUCAACCUCGGAACUGCCUUCGAUACUGCGGGUCUCGAGUCCGGGAGAGGUGAGUGGAAUUCCUAGUGUAGAGGUGAAAUUCGUAGAUAUUAGGAAGAACACCAGUGGCGAAGGCGGCUCACUGGCCCGGUACUGACGCUGAGGCGCGAAAGCGUGGGGAGCAAACAGG